Molecule: unclassified non-coding RNA, 288 nt
Filed under: uncultured fungus
Lineage: Eukaryota; Fungi
Description: sequence contains ITS1
Source: RNAcentral
GUAUAUUUAACUUUAUAGGUACAAAAUGACCUGAUUCAACAUUCUAAACAGACUUUGGAGGUUUGUGUAAAAUGACAUAGACCUGAAAAAUACAAGGGAAAGCCGACUUGAGAAAGCACAGCAGUCCCCAACUCGAAAAAUAAAUCCAUCAAAUAUCAGGUCUACAAAAUGUGCACAGUUGGAAAAAUAAAUAUGACAAGGCGUGCACAUAUCCCUCCAAGGAGGGCCAGCAACAACCUGUUCAAAGUUUAUUCAAUAAUGAUCCUUCCGCAGGUUCACCUACGGAAA